Molecule: ribosomal RNA, 240 nt
Filed under: uncultured bacterium
Lineage: Bacteria
Description: partial 16S ribosomal RNA
Rfam family: Bacterial small subunit ribosomal RNA
Source: RNAcentral
AGCGGCGGACGGGUGAGUAACGCGUGGGUAACCUGCCUCAUACAGGGGGAUAACAGUUGGAAACGGCUGCUAAUACCGCACAAGCGCACAGUACCGCAUGGUACCGUGUGAAAAACUCCGGUGGUAUGAGAUGGACCCGCGUCUGAUUAGGUAGUUGGUGGGGUAACGGCCUACCAAGCCGACGAUCAGUAGCCGACCUGAGAGGGUGACCGGCCACAUUGGGACUGAGACAUGGCCCAA